This 357-nucleotide long non-coding RNA is filed under the name Brassica napus (rape). RNAcentral's name for it is "long non-coding RNA (BNAP_LNC009135)". Lineage: Eukaryota; Viridiplantae; Streptophyta; Magnoliopsida; Brassicales; Brassicaceae. The record is from RNAcentral.
GCUUUCUUUAUUUCACGUGUUUCUUAGUGUUUAUUCCACCGAUUUAGGGAGUAUUAAGAAGUUUUACUAAAUUAAUUGAUAAAAAAUUAUAAUGAUUCUCACACACCAUGAAAGAGAAUUUAGAAUACAUUAAUACAAAUGUAGUUAGUGGUUAGAAAUUUAAAAAAACACUAAUGAUUAUAGGCUUCAAUAUAUAAAGAAUUUACCAAAAUUCAAUAUUUACACAUACAUUUUGAGAAAAUUUCAAAAAAUAUGGCAAUAUUGUUUUAAUGCAUAGUUGCAUCCUGUACUAAUAUAUGAUGAUAUUGAAAGAGGUUUUCAGCCUUUGUUGUCUCCGUUUUUCAAGAAAAUAGCGAU